GAUGAUGUGUCGUUUAAUUUUGUUUAAUACGGAAAUACUUAUUUUUUCUCUAUUUUAGUGCAGUUGGAAUUUGAAACAACAAUAAUAUUGGUUUUGUGUUCGUUAUAAUGUGUAUGUUUACAGUGUGUUACACUUCAAUGUGAAUAGCAAGUUUUCUACAAUUCUAUUCUUCAAUGCUGCGUCGCUCGCUUGGAAUGCUUACACGACACGUGUUGGUAUCAUCUAAUUCUUCGUUACAUUGUCAACGCUUAUUAUAAUUACCUUUACUUAUCCUAGAACUUUUCCUGUUGGUCAUUGGUAAUAUCUGCUUCAACACUCCAUAAGUAUUUACUUAAAUUUGGUAGUAAGCUUCUUAUAACUGUGUUGACUUUUGCGUAUACCCUUUGAUGUUAUGAUUGCUUACCUCAGUAUUUAUUACCUUCGGUAUUCUUGUACCUGUGAGUAGAAUGGUCUCAAAAUUUUCCAUCGGCCAACCCUGACAGUCGUAUACUAUGUUCUACGAAAUGGAUCCAUAACCUGUCUUUGUACAUACACUUCCUUUUACGAUGAUUAAUUGUUCACAAGGUACCUUUCACUUUCACUGCUUUUAAUUAUUUUA
Bombus pyrosoma is the source of this 598-nucleotide long non-coding RNA. RefSeq lists it as uncharacterized. The transcript has 5 exons. The record is from RefSeq and is a predicted model, not a curated record. NCBI's taxonomy places the organism in Eukaryota, Metazoa, Arthropoda, Insecta, Hymenoptera, Apidae.